GGGCGGUUAGCUCAGGGGUAGAGCACGUCGUUCACACCGACGGGGUCGCAGGUUCGAAACCUGCACCGCCCACCA
This 75-nucleotide transfer RNA is filed under the name Rubrivivax sp. RNAcentral's name for it is "tRNA-Val". It matches the Rfam family "tRNA". Rfam says of the family: Transfer RNA (tRNA) molecules are approximately 80 nucleotides in length. Their secondary structure includes four short double-helical elements and three loops (D, anti-codon, and T loops). The record is from RNAcentral. Lineage: Bacteria; Pseudomonadati; Pseudomonadota; Betaproteobacteria; Burkholderiales; Sphaerotilaceae. RNAcentral also lists the same sequence under 1 other name.